UUGCCCCAAGGCAAGCAAAGUCUCCAAAUAUCAGCGAGCCCACGCUCUUGGCUUUUUAACUUAUCCAAAUCACUUGGCAAGUUUUUCUACUCGAUAUUUGUUUUGUUUCUUUUUCGUUUCUGUUGAUUUGAUUUAUUUAUUUAUUGUUGACUCUGCUCGCCCGGCUCGGCUCUUCGACUCGAGGCAGGCGCCUCAAUAAUCGCCAGCCGAGCAACUGAUUAGCUUAAUUUUCCGGAUGGUGAAACUGCCUCGAUACCAAUAUCAAAGUUUGUUU
Molecule: long non-coding RNA, 274 nt
Organism: Drosophila navojoa
Lineage: Eukaryota; Metazoa; Arthropoda; Insecta; Diptera; Drosophilidae
Source: RefSeq, a predicted model, not a curated record